GGGAGCAGCCUCACGGCUCUGACCUCUGGCACGAAGACUAGCCCUCCAACCAGAGUUCAUGUGGAUCACACAUACGCGAUGCAAGGCGCGAUGGAUGGACAUGGCCCGCCGUCUGGAGGAAACGAUGUGGUCCUGUGCCACCCGCACCGAGGGCAAGGGGAAGAUGGACGUGUUGAGGGCCAGACUUCGACAGCUUCGGAAACAUAACAAGAGACUCCAGCAACGACUGCAGCGACGGCGUCAUAUGCUGACUGUCACUGAGAUAGUUGAAAGUGUACGUAG
Molecule: long non-coding RNA, 282 nt
Organism: Ixodes scapularis (black-legged tick)
Lineage: Eukaryota; Metazoa; Arthropoda; Arachnida; Ixodida; Ixodidae
Exons: 3
Source: RefSeq, a predicted model, not a curated record